Molecule: long non-coding RNA, 393 nt
Organism: Betta splendens (Siamese fighting fish)
Lineage: Eukaryota; Metazoa; Chordata; Actinopteri; Anabantiformes; Osphronemidae
Exons: 3
Source: RefSeq, a predicted model, not a curated record
UACUUGUGAAUAUAACUCUAUAGCUCUUUUUAUCCCAUUGUUAAGACCUCUGCUCAUUUAUAGAAACACAGUCAGCCAUUACCCCCCUGUAAAUACCUGCUGAAUGUGUUUCCUGAUGCUCACCAGACUCCUGCUCGCUUUCUGCCCUGGAGCAGUUUGGACCAAACUGGUUCUUCAGCAGUUAUGCAGAUCUCUUUCAUCGCAGCUUUCCUUCUGGUAGCAGUCGCUCAUGCUGCUCCUGGUUUAGAGCAACAAGGACAGCCAAAUGGUGGGAUGGGUGGACCCAGUCAACCCGGGCAACCCCAGGGACGGCUAAAUGGUGGGAUGGGUGGCCCAAAUCAACCCGGGCAACCCCAAGGACGGCCAAAUGGUGGAGUGGGUAGGCCCAGUCAA